RNAcentral lists this ribosomal RNA (250 nucleotides) under uncultured bacterium. Its description in RNAcentral is "partial 16S ribosomal RNA". It matches the Rfam family "Bacterial small subunit ribosomal RNA", at positions 524 to 772 of the family's 1533-position model. The record is from RNAcentral.
UACGGAGGGUGCAAGCGUUAUCCGGAUUUACUGGGUUUAAAGGGUGCGCAGGCGGAUAUGUAAGUCAGUGGUGAAAUCUCUGGGCUUAACCCGGAAAUUGCCAUUGAUACUAUAUAUCGUUGAAUGCUGUGGAGGUAAGCGGAAUAUGUCAUGUAGCGGUGAAAUGCUUAGAGAUGACAUAGAACACCUAUUGCGAAGGCAGCUUACUACGCAGAGAUUGACGCUCAUGCACGAAAGCGUGGGGAGCAAA